ACUCAAAGGAAUUGACGGGGCCCCGCACAAGCGGUGGAGCAUGUUGUUUAAUACGUCACUAACCGUAGAACCUUACCAGGGUUUGACAUCCGUCGCACCGGUGUGAAAGCAUCGUUCCCCGCAAGGGGACGGCGAGACAGGUGUUGCAUGGCUGUCGUCAGCUCGUGUCGUGAGAUGUUGGGUUAAGUCCCGCAACGAGCGCAACCCUCAUCCCAUGUUGCCAGCGAGUAAAGUCGGGAACUCUUGGGAAACUGCCGGGGUAACUCGGAGGAAGGCGAGGAUGACGUCAAGUCAGCAUGGCCCUUACACCCUGGGCUACAAACAUGCUACAAUGGACGGUACACAGAGCGACGCAAGACCGUGAGGUGGCGCCAAUCGCAAAAAUCCGUUCUCAGUUCGGAUCGUAGGCUGCAACUCGCCUACGUGAAGUCGGAAUCGCUAGUAACCGCAGAUCAGCGAAGCUGCGGUGAAUACGUUCCCGGGGCUUGUACACACCGCCCGU
This 502-nucleotide ribosomal RNA is filed under the name uncultured bacterium. Its description in RNAcentral is "partial 16S ribosomal RNA". It matches the Rfam family "Bacterial small subunit ribosomal RNA", at positions 899 to 1397 of the family's 1533-position model. The record is from RNAcentral.